AUAUCUAAAAGAAUUAAACAUAUCUGUUUUUAUCAGUUUAAUCUCUGAUAUGUGAUCAAUCGAUCACUUUGAGAUUAUUCUAUUUUUGAAAUCAUGGUGAAUUUGAAAAAGGGGCUUGUUCCUCACUUACCGCGGGUCGAUCCGGUAUUGUAUCUACCUACGGGAACAAUCUAUUUACC
Molecule: small nuclear RNA, 179 nt
Filed under: Wuchereria bancrofti
Lineage: Eukaryota; Metazoa; Nematoda; Chromadorea; Rhabditida; Onchocercidae
Description: U2 spliceosomal RNA
Rfam family: U2 spliceosomal RNA
About the family: U2 is a small nuclear RNA (snRNA) component of the spliceosome (involved in pre-mRNA splicing). Complementary binding between U2 snRNA (in an area lying towards the 5' end but 3' to hairpin I) and the branchpoint sequence (BPS) of the intron results the bulging out of an unpaired adenosine, on the BPS, which initiates a nucleophilic attack at the intronic 5' splice site, thus starting the first of two transesterification reactions that mediate splicing.
Source: Rfam by way of RNAcentral